Molecule: ribosomal RNA, 253 nt
Filed under: uncultured bacterium
Lineage: Bacteria
Description: partial 16S ribosomal RNA
Rfam family: Bacterial small subunit ribosomal RNA
Source: RNAcentral
UACGGAGGGUGCGAGCGUUAAUCGGAAUUACUGGGCGUAAAGGGUGCGUAGGUGGUUGGAUAAGUUAUCUGUGAAAGCCCCGGGCUCAACCUGGGAAGGUCAGAUAAGACUGUUCGACUCGAGUAUUGGAGAGGGUAGUGGAAUUUCCGGUGUAGCGGUGAAAUGCGUAGAGAUCGGAAGGAACACCAGUGGCGAAGGCGGCUACCUGGCCAGAUACUGACACUGAAGCACGAAAGCGUGGGGAGCAAACAGG